RNAcentral lists this signal recognition particle RNA (148 nucleotides) under Gorilla gorilla gorilla (western lowland gorilla). RNAcentral's name for it is "Metazoan signal recognition particle RNA". It matches the Rfam family "Metazoan signal recognition particle RNA". From Rfam's summary of the family: The signal recognition particle (SRP) is a universally conserved ribonucleoprotein. Lineage: Eukaryota; Metazoa; Chordata; Mammalia; Primates; Hominidae. The record is from Rfam by way of RNAcentral.
GCCAGGUGUGGUGGCGCACACCUGUAGUCCCAGCUACUUGGGAGGCUGAGGCAGGAGAAUCGCUUGAACCGGGGGGGCAGAGGUUGCAGUGAGCUGAGAUCACGCCACUGUACUCCAGCCUGGGUAACACAGCGAGACUCUGUCUCAG